UUCAUUAUGCUUAUAUUCAAACCCUCUUCUUCUUCUUUGUAUACUUUGAUAAUUCCUCCUUUCCUCUCUUUCUCCAAUUAUAAAUAAAUAGAAGGUUGCCUUACAACUUCCUAGACUACAAAGCAACAUUGUAUUGAUACACAAGUGAGGCAACUUAAAUGGAGGUCAUACAAUAUCAUUCCGGGCUUGAUUAAAUGGAGGUCAUUCAACAGCUUCUCUAUUAUGAUUUGCUCUAUUGUGCAUAAUGUCAAACUUCGACCGUGAUUUCUUUUAUUAAUAAAUAAUAAGAUAAGCGAGUGCAAAAAGGCAAGGGCGUUGCAGACUGAUUUGGAACGGAUGACUAAUUAUUGAAUCUUGCUAUUUUGUUAUGUGUUAAGUUUAUGGAUCUUUGUUAACGUUUUAUUUUGGAUUACCCAACUAUGUAAUUUUUCUUUUGAUGUCUUGAACUAAAUUGUAGUCAAGGUUGUCGAUUUUUGGUGUUAAUCCUCGUUCGUGUCUUGGAACCAAUGUUUAUCUUUGUAUCUAAAUUUAGAACGCCCAAUUUCAUGGAUUUCCAGUGUUAUGCUAAUAUUUGCUAUUUUCAUAAGCAAGAGGCUUUAAGUUUGAGAUACUAAAAACAAUACACAUCUUUUAUUGUAACUCAUAUGCCACUCUAUUUUUCUUACUCGUUUGCAAUGCAUGCAUAAAUUA
Molecule: long non-coding RNA, 690 nt
Organism: Medicago truncatula (barrel medic)
Lineage: Eukaryota; Viridiplantae; Streptophyta; Magnoliopsida; Fabales; Fabaceae
Exons: 3
Source: RefSeq, a predicted model, not a curated record